CAGCGCUGCCAAUGAGGAGUAUUUACUGAGUGAGUGGAAGACGUUUGUUUGCAAUGGAGAGAUCAGCGCCAGGGAAGCUAGGGAACAGCAGGCUCCUUCCAGCAGCACAUCGCAAUGAGGUGUGUCUUCUGUCUUCCUCCAGGCAAGGAGGACUUGAAGGACCAGGAGGUUAUAUUUCCUUGGUACAAAGCCAAGUGUGACUAGCUGCUUCAAACAAUCAGCAGUCCAGCAAGAAACAUUUCUACAAAGGGCUUGACAUUCCUCUUGACCUUCCCUAGGGUACAAUCAUGUCAGUUUCCAAGUUCUUCUCUGUUGGAUGCCAGACACACGUGAGCAAAAUUUGGAAUACACGUUCAGACCAGAGACUGACCAAUCUAAAAUGAACUUACAAUCAGAGACUGACAAAGGGAGAAAUGCAUCAACCUUCACUUAUAGCCCCUGUCACAGAUGGCAUUAGAUAAAGACUAAUUCAUGUCGAGCAGCCGAGAUUAAAACAUUCAAACAAACUCCUGCAACUUCUAAAAGUGACAUGUUCAUUUUAAAAUGAUACUCCUGCACUGUGAAAUACAAUGACAAAUAAUGAGGAGCAGAUUGACAUAUAAUGCCAGACACUGAAUAAAUUCCAUGCUCACUGUCAGCCCGGUACUGAUGAAAACUCACUUGAUCAAUGCUCAUACUCUGGUCGAGAGACUGACUCUUGCAGAAGCAUGUCCACUCUUUCUCAAUGUAUGAAAAAUUGAUUUACAGUACAUUAAUCACACCUCAUGAAGAGUAUCAGAUCAUGACAUGCAGAGCUAGAAACACAAGGAGACAUACAGAAACAGGCAGUGUGACUUGAAUCAGUACCAGUCUUUAAAGUUAUACGGAUCAGGAGCAUGCAAGAAAACUUGCUCACGGUCAGUCAUUGAACGAUGAAAGGAAAAGAAUGAAAUUUAGCCAUACACAGAUUUACAGAUAUGGACAAAUGUAAAUUGACACUCAAACUCACCGAUCACAACAGAAAGGAGGUUAGUGUUAGAUGUUUGUUUGUUACAGUGCCCAGCAGUGACUGACAAAGCCCACUGUGCACUCAAAUUAAAAAAAAACUGAGAUUGAAUGCAAUGAAAUUAAGCCUCACGGUAAGGACAAAUGUCAAUGCAAAAUCAAUCCCUCAAUCACACAAGGUCAAUGAAUAUCUACAGAGUUUAUGCUACAUUCAGACACAAAAACACAAAUGAACAUGGAAGGAGAAUGAAAUCCAUAUACUGUACCUGAGACUGUUGCAGACACCACAAAGCUGGCACUGUAGCUAUUCAAAGGUAGAUAACUACAGAACUAAUGUCAAAUUGGCACUAACAGAUGGACACUGGCAGUGAAUAGAAGAAGUUCACAUUCCCAACACUUACUGGAAACUAGUAUGCAGAAUAGAAUGUCCCAGUGCAAGCACAAUGGGCUGAAUGGCCUGCUUCCACACUGCACCUCAUAAUGAUUCUGAUCCUGGUGAUAAAGGAAAUGACAUUCUGUUGUAUAGAGCAUUAGUAUAAAAAUAUAAUGUAGAAAUAGACAGACAGGUGCAGAACAAAACUCUUUUUAAUGAAAGAGCACUAACAAUGUCCAAUACAAAAUGAAUCUAAAUAUCUCAUUGAUACUACAGAACCCUGGAAAAAAAAAAUCCUGUAAUGACACAGAGAACCAGCAUCUGGUACAUGUGGUAUAUAAAACCCACACUCAGCGUGCAAACUAGGAAACAUGUUGUUGAUUCAGAAUGGUUCUCAGAUGAAAGCAGCCCCACUCCUAUGACCCCUCCUAGACCCUGCCAACUGAUAGUCCACUCAGAAGUCACAAAAUGCAGAAGAGAUUAAUACCCAGUCUCAACACCCUAAUAGCUAUAUCAGAAUGUGUUGCAUAGUCACGGAGAAUAUUACUGGCUGCCAGAGAAUCAAGGCACAUUGAUACACAAUAGUAGAAACUGACAGGUACAGAUUGAUACCUACACUGACUCAUUCACAUUCCAGAAACAGACAAAAGAAAGCUGAUGACAAAACUCACAUUCACAUGGCAGGAAUUGAUAGGUACAGAUUUAUCAUGCCACUCAUAUUCAAACAGCAGAAAUUGACAGGCAUGGACUGAUAAUUUUACUUGCCCAUUCACACAGCAGAAACUGACUGGGAGAGAAUGAUAAAUGCAUUUACACAUUCAAAACCCAGAAACUGACAGGUACAGAUUAAUAACUAAUAACUCUCAGAUCCACAGAGCUGGAACUGACACAGACAGAUGGGGAAAUGCACUCACACAUAUAUGUUGCAGAUACUGACAGGAAGAAUAUUAUUAUUACAUACAAAUUCACAGAGUAAAAACUGACAGGUACACAUUGAUAAAUGCAUUUACACAUUCAAAGCCAGAAACUGACAGGUGGAAAUUGAUGUAAAAUCAUGCAUUCACAGAGCAUAAUGAUUGAUAAUGACAGUCUUGGUUUCAAAUAACUGACGGGGACAGAUUGGUAACUUCACUCACCGAUUCACAGAGCAGAAACUGACAGGCAUAGACCGAUAAUUACACUCAUCUACUGCCAAAGGUUAAGAUCGAAAAUGACAUGCACAUAUUCACAAAGAAGAAACUGACAGGUAUUCACUGAUAACUAAACUCAUAUAUUGACAUAACAGAAACCGUAAGGGAUAGACUGAUCCUUACACAAACAUAUUCACCAAGCAGAGGUUGACAGGUACAGAUUGAUAACUACAUAAACAUAUUCACACAACAGUCUGAACAGACCGAUGUUAAACUCACAUAUUGACAGAGCAGAAACUGACAGGCAGAGAUUGACAAUGAAACUCUCAUUCUCAUAGCUGAAACUGACAGGUAUAGGUUAAUAACGACAUCCUCAUAUUCACACAGAAAAACAGACUGUUCAGAAUGAUAAAUUCAUUCACACAUUCACAAACCAGAAACUGACAGGUGCAGAAUAAUAACUACAUUGACAUAUUUACAUAGCAGAAACUGACAUGGAUAGAAUAAAAAUAUCACUCUCAGGUUCAUUUGGCAUAAUCUGACCAGUAUAGUUUGACAACUAAAUUCAUUUUCACAGAACAGAAUUUGCCAAAUAAAUAUUGAUAACUAUACUCCCAUAUUGACAGAGCAUAAACUGACAGGCAUAGUUUGAUAACUGUACUCACAUAUUCCAAGAGCAGAAUCUGACAGGUACAGAUACAUAACUGCACUCACAUAUUAACAUAUCGAUUACUAUCUGUUAGUUCUAGCUAACAACAUUCACAUAUUGAUAUAGAAGUAACUGACAGGUUAAAAAUUGAUAACUAUAUUUACAUAUUCCCAGACCUGAAACUGACAGUUAUAGAGUUGUAAAUACACUCAUGCAUUCACAUAUGAGGCUGACAGGGACAAAUUUAAAACUACAUUUCACAGAGCACAAGAACAAGAACAGAUUGAUCAUUGCACUCACACAUUCACAUAGCAGGAACUAACAGGUACAGAUUGAUAAUUAUACUCACAUUUUGAAGUAUCAGAUGCUUGCAACCAGAGAUUAAUUACUACACUCUCAUAUGCACAGUGCAGAAACUGACAGGUGACUUAUAACUGCACUCAAACAUUCACAUGGCAGAAACUAAUAUAAACAGAUUGAUAACAACUCACAUAUUUAUAUGGCAGAAAUAGACAGUGACUGAUUGCUGUGUGGAUAUGUAAAUAUAUUUAUCAGUCAGUCUCUGUCAAUUUCUACAAUGUGGAUAUGUCAGUUUAGUUAUCAGUCUGUACUUGACAGUUUAUGUAAUGUGAUCAUGUGAGGGGAGUACAGUGGAUGUUGUCUAUAUGGAUUUUCGUAAGGUAUUUGACAAGGUGCCACAUAGCAGACUGGUCCAAAAAGUAAAAGCCUGUGGGAUACAGGGUAAUAUGCUGAAUUGGAUCCAACGAUGGCUCAGUAACAGGAAACAAAAUGUAAUGGUUGAUUGCUGCCUUUGUGAAUACAAAGCUGUUUCAAGUGGUGCUCAGCACGGCUCACUGUUGGGACCCCUGCUAUUUGUUUUCUACAUUAACAAUUUGGACUUGAAUGUGGAGGGCUCAUUUGAGAAAUUCGCAGACAACACAAAACUUGGCCAUGUAGUAGGUAGUGUAGAGGAUAAUUGUAAGAUGCAAAAUGAUAUAGAUCAUUUAGUUGAGUGGGCUGGAAAGUGGCAGAUGGAGUUCAGCUCUGAUAAAGGUGAGAUAAUGCACUUUGGAAGCUCAAACAUUAAAUGGAAAUCGAAAAUAAAUGAGAAUAUACUGAGAGGGGUAGAUGAAGUGAGAGAUCUUUGCAUGCAGGUGCACAGAUCCCUAAAGGUAGCAGAACAGGCAUUUAGAGUUAUAAACAAGGCAUGUAAAAUGCUAUCCUUCAUUGGCAGUGGUAUGGAAUACAGAAGUAGGGAUAUAACUGUGAAACUGUAUACGGAACGGGUGAGGCCACAACUGGAGCAUUGUGUGCAGUUCUGGUUACCACAUUACAGGAAGGAUGUAAUUGCUGUGGAGAGAGUGCAGAGGAGAUUUACUAGAAUGUUGCCAGGGCUGGAGAUUGUAGCUACGAGGAGAGAUUGGAGAGGUUGGAGUUAUAUUGCUUAGAAUACAGGAGGCUGAGCAAUGUCAUGAUUUAAGAAAACUAAAUUGUGAGAGGGAGAGAUAGAGUAGACAGGAUGAACCUGUUUCCCUUGGCAGAAACUGUUCAAAACCAGAGGGCAUCGAUCGAAGCUCAGUGGCUGAAGGAUCAGACGAUACUUGAGGAAAAUUGUUUUUUAAUGCAGAGGGUGGUGGGUAUCUAGAAUUUGCUGUCUGAAUUGGUGGAGUCAGAGACUCUAAACUGUUUUAAAGGUAAGUUACCUGGAUCUGCACCUUUAGUUCUGUAAGCUGCAGGGUUAUGAGCGGUAUGCAGGAAGAUAGAACAAGAAGGGAUCUCUGGAGGUCUUUGGGUCAGCUCGGGCAAAUGGGCUGAAUCGUCCACUCUGUCCUGUGUCAUUUUUAUGGUUGUAUAGUUAUCAACCUUUCCCUGUCAGUCUCUGCUGUGUGACUAUGUAAAUAUAUUUACAGAGACUUGACAUGAACAGGUUGACUGGGCUGUGCACACCACCUUCUGUAGUUUCAUACAGUCCUGGGCAGAGCAGUUGCUACACCAGGGCAUUAUGCACCCAGACAGUGACACUUUCAAUUGUGCAUCUGUAGAAGUUGGUGAGAGUCCCUAUGGACAUGCCAAAUUUCCUGAGCCGCCUGAGGAAGAAGAGGUGUUGUUGUCUUCUUGACUGUUGCAUCUACGUAGGAAGUCCAGGGCAGGUUGUUGGUUAUUGUCACUCUGAGGAACUUGGUGCUCUCCACCCUCUCAACCUCAGUUCCAUUGAUGUAGAUGAGGGAGGUGGUGGUGGGGAGGGGCAUGUUCUCCUGCUUUCUUUCUGAAGUCAAUGAACACUUCUUUAGUUUUUCCGACAUUGAGAAAGAGGUUACCUUCACUGCACCAAUGUCAUCAAGCCCUCUAUCUCCCUUCUGGGUUUUGACUCAUGGUUGUUAGAUAUGUGCCCCACUAUGAUGGUGUCAUCAGUGAACUUGUAGAUGGUGAUCAGUUGGAAUUUGGCACCACAGUUUUGGGUGUACAGUAGGGGCCUGAGGAUGCAUCCUUGGGGGGUGGCCUCCAGUGUUGAGUGUUAUUGUAGAAGGAUGCAGUUGUCUAUCUUUACUGAUUGCGGUCUACGAGUCAGAAAGCUGAGGAUGUGAUUGCAGUGGGCGGAGCUGAGACCAAGGCCAUGGAGCUUUAAGAUCACUCUGUACGGAAUAAUGGUGUUGAAGGCAGAGCUGUAGUCAAUGAGCAGGAGUCUGACAUAGAUGGCUUUGUUGUCUAGAAGUUCUAGGGAUGAAUGAUCUCCUACAACCUCUUGCAUCAGGCAGAAAAUACAGAAACCUGAACAUAUGGAUGAGCAGGUUCAGGGCCAGCUUCUUCCUGGCUAUUCUAAGUUGAUGAAUGGACUCUUUAGCCUCAAAUAAUGACGAUCUUGCUAAUGUUGAUCUCACUGAGUGCACACCCUGUGUAAUGUAACCUGCAUGCCUCUGUCUAAGUCGUUUUGAUCUGUACAUCUUUGCUUACUGUGAUCUGACUGUACUACUCGUAAACAGAGCUUUUCACUGUAUCUCGCUGCAUGUGAAAUUUUUCAAAAAAAUUAACAUAGUAUAUACUGACAGGUACAUAUAGAUAACUACACACACACAUUCAACAAGUGGAAACUGACAGUUAUAGAUCGAUAACUAAACUCACAAACCCACAUACCCACUUGCAUCGGGUAGUCCCAUUCACGCAGCUGUAUCGGUGUUGGUUAGUUUUCGGAUCUCACUCAACUGGCUAUUAGAAUUUUAAGAAAAAAUAGAGAAGGAGCAGCUCAGGGUAGGAUUAGAAUCAGACCCUGGUUCUGUUCAAAUAGCUAGCU
Molecule: RNA transcript, 6425 nt
Organism: Rhincodon typus (whale shark)
Lineage: Eukaryota; Metazoa; Chordata; Chondrichthyes; Orectolobiformes; Rhincodontidae
Gene name: histone H2B 7-like
Exons: 3
Source: RefSeq, a predicted model, not a curated record